Molecule: long non-coding RNA, 664 nt
Filed under: Ananas comosus (pineapple)
Lineage: Eukaryota; Viridiplantae; Streptophyta; Magnoliopsida; Poales; Bromeliaceae
Description: long non-coding RNA (ACOM_LNC035833)
Source: RNAcentral
UUAAACCUCUUAUCUGUCGCUCCAUUAUUCCAGUUAUUGCUACUAUUGCUGCUGCUGUUAUUUUUUUGGUUAUUGUUCUUCUUCAUCCCACUCCCUCUGAUUCCGUCGUUAUUCCAUCCUUGUCGCCGCCUUCCCCGCAUCCAUCACCUCCCUGUCCAACCACCACCACCGGCGCCCCGUGCCACAGCCACCGCGGGCAUCGCUCACGUUCACUUACAUACUCACCCACAGAUUCAGCCACGGCACCCAUAGAGGAGGUGCUAGUGGCGGCAGAAGAUGAGGAGGAAGGGCAGCGGCGGAAAGAGCGAGGAGGAGGGGGCGGGGAGGAGGGAGUAGAUGGAGAAGAAGGGGUUGUUGGCGAGAGAGAGGGAGAUGGGAGAGCAUUGGAGAACUCUGAGAAGUGGAAUAAGAAGAUGUACAUUAGGAAGAAGAGGGAUGAGGGAAGUACGGCGCCUGAGAGAAGGCAUGGAGAGAACGUAAGUUGGCCCCACCUAGCAGAAAAUGCCAAGAGAAAGUGUUGUUCGGGAGGAGGGAGAAGGGGCUGUUAGGGCGUUGGAGAUAAAGAAGUGGUUAGGGAGAGGGUAAGGGAAGUACAAAGAAGAAAAAUAAAGGGGAGAGGGUGUAGGUAUAUGAGAAGGGGAAUGGGACGAACGACAUAAGAGGG